RNA transcript from Camelina sativa (false flax), 1264 nucleotides. RefSeq lists it as uncharacterized. NCBI's taxonomy places the organism in Eukaryota, Viridiplantae, Streptophyta, Magnoliopsida, Brassicales, Brassicaceae. The record is from RefSeq and is a predicted model, not a curated record.
ACAUCUACACGUCAGCUUCCUUCGCCGGCGAUUAUUACAAUCGUCAACCUCGCCGCCGGCCAGAGAUUAAUGGCGUAUCACCAACCGUUCGAUCCUUACCACGUCUAUCUACCUCAUUCUCAUCCACAUCCUCUUCCGCCACAGUUCCCCGACGAACCCGGGGCGAUUAACACGCUCUUUGUCUCUGGCUUGCCUAACGAUGUUAAGGCUCGUGAGAUCCACAAUCUCUUCCGCCGCCGUCACGGAUUCGAGUCUUGUCAGCUCAAGUACACUGGACGCGGUGAUCAGGUUGUGGCGUUUGCAACAUUCACGAGUCAUGGGUUCGCUAUGGCUGCAUUGAGUGAACUAAAUGGUGUGAAGUUUGAUCCUCAAACAGGAUCCACUCUACAUAUAGAACUAGCUAGAUCAAACUCUAGAAGAAAAGAAAGACCAGGAAGUGGGCCUUAUGUUGUGAUUGAUAACAGAAACAAGAAACCGUCUAAGUCUCAGGAUGACCAGAGUGAUGAAGUAGAUAGCGAUCCUGAUGAGGCGCAGGAACCUGGUAGUAGCGGUUCUCCAAAGGAAAACGAUAAUUCCAAAAGUGAAGCGGAAUCUGAUCAAGACAGUAAGGCACCAUCUGCUAAUGGGCAUUUGGAAAAAGCAUGUGAAGGAAGUUUUGGUGCUCGACCAUGUUCAACCUUGUUUAUAGCUAAUCUAGGGCCUAAUUGUACAGAAGAGGAACUUAAACAACUUCUAUCUAGAUAUCCUGGUUUCAAUAUCAUGAAAAUCAGAGCAAGAGGUGGAAUGCCAGUUGCUUUUGCUGAUUUUGAGGAAAUCGAGCAAGCUACUGAUGUCAUGAAUGAACUUCAAGGGUACCUCUUAUCCUCUUCAGACCGAGGCGGCAUGCAUAUAGAAUAUGCAAGAUCGAAGAUGAGGAAACAGUAAAGAUUUUCGCAACCCUAGAGUAGAGUCUCACUUCUCGUAAUGUACCACAUGCCAAUAGUAUUCUCUUCUGAAAACGAGAUAGAGAUCAUAAGCAAAUGAGAGCUAUAUUUAUUCAAAACUCCAAAAAUUUUCUAUUAAGACCUCUAAAGAUGUAUAAUAAGCACACAGAAGAUUUUAAAUGGGGAUGGAGAGAGACAAUCAGCCAUUGUCAUAAUCCAGUGAGUAAACAUCCAUGGAACGUCAUUUAAUCACUGCCCCACCAGUCCAAGACAUUUUUGGGCGUUUCUUGUGUGUUUUAAAUUUGAGAAAAUUGUUAAUUGGUGAUGUGGAUAAGUAGAAA